RNAcentral lists this ribosomal RNA (523 nucleotides) under Roseovarius tolerans. Its description in RNAcentral is "bacterial SSU rRNA". It matches the Rfam family "Bacterial small subunit ribosomal RNA", at positions 384 to 923 of the family's 1533-position model. The record is from RNAcentral. Lineage: Bacteria; Pseudomonadati; Pseudomonadota; Alphaproteobacteria; Rhodobacterales; Roseobacteraceae.
UGAUCUAGCCAUGCCGCGUGAGUGACGAAGGCCUUAGGGUCGUAAAAGCUCUUUUCGCCUGUGAUGAUAAUGACAGUAGCAGGUAAAGAAACCCCGGCUAACUCCGUGCCAGCAGCCGCGGUAAUACGGAGGGGGUUAGCGUUGUUCGGAAUUACUGGGCGUAAAGCGCACGUAGGCGGAUCGGAAAGUUGGGGGUGAAAUCCCGGGGCUCAACCCCGGAACUGCCUCCAAAACUUCUGGUCUGGAGUUCGAGAGAGGUGAGUGGAAUUCCGAGUGUAGAGGUGAAAUUCGUAGAUAUUCGGAGGAACACCAGUGGCGAAGGCGGCUCACUGGCUCGAUACUGACGCUGAGGUGCGAAAGUGUGGGGAGCAAACAGGAUUAGAUACCCUGGUAGUCCACACCGUAAACGAUGAAUGCCAGUCGUCGGCAAGCAUGCUUGUCGGUGACACACCUAACGGAUUAAGCAUUCCGCCUGGGGAGUACGGUCGCAAGAUUAAAACUCAUCUUUCUAGGUCUUCGGUCG